CUAGCGACUUCAGAGUUUGAUCCUGGCUCAGGAUGAACGCUGGCGGCGUGCAUAACACAUUCAAGUCGAACGGACAAGGGGCUUCGGCCCUGCGUUAGUGGCGGACGGGUGAGUAACGCGUGAGCAACCUGCCUUACAGUACGGGAUAACGUUUGGAAACGACCGCUAAUACCGUAUGAUGCAUCGGAAUCGCAUGUUUUUUGAUGCCAAAGAUUUAUUGCUGUAAGAUGGGCUCGCGUCCCAUUAGGUAGUUGGCGGGGGAACGGCCCACCAAGCCUACGAUGGGUAGCCGGACUGAGAGGUUGAACGGCCACAUUGGAACUGAGAAACGGUCCAG
This 337-nucleotide ribosomal RNA is filed under the name uncultured bacterium. RNAcentral's name for it is "bacterial SSU rRNA". It matches the Rfam family "Bacterial small subunit ribosomal RNA", at positions 1 to 334 of the family's 1533-position model. The record is from RNAcentral.